GAUGAGUGCUAAGUGUUAGAGGGUUUCCGCCCUUUAGUGCUGCAGCAAACGCAUUAAGCACUCCGCCUGGGGAGUACGGCCGCAAGGCUGAAACUCAAAGGAAUUGACGGGGGCCCGCACAAGCGGUGGAGCAUGUGGUUUAAUUCGAAGCAACGCGAAGAACCUUACCAGGUCUUGACAUCUCCUGACAACCCUAGAGAUAGGGCGUUCCCCUUCGGGGGACAGGAUGACAGGUGGUGCAUGGUUGUCGUCAGCUCGUGUCGUGAGAUGUUGGGUUAAGUCCCGCAACGAGCGCAACCCUUGAUCUUAGUUGCCAGCAUUCAGUUGGGCACUCUAAGGUGACUGCCGGUGACAAACCGGAGGAAGGUGGGGAUGACGUCAAAUCAUCAUGCCCCUUAUGACCUGGGCUACACACGUGCUACAAUGGAUGGUACAAAGGGCUGCGAGACCGCGAGGUUAAGCGAAUCCCAUAAAACCAUUCUCAGUUCGGAUUGCAGGCUGCAACUCGCCUGCAUGAAGCCGGAAUCGCUAGUAAUCGCGGAUCAGCAUGCCGCG
Molecule: ribosomal RNA, 555 nt
Filed under: uncultured Bacillus sp.
Lineage: Bacteria; Bacillati; Bacillota; Bacilli; Caryophanales; Bacillaceae
Description: bacterial SSU rRNA
Rfam family: Bacterial small subunit ribosomal RNA
Source: RNAcentral